RNAcentral lists this ribosomal RNA (330 nucleotides) under uncultured Clostridia bacterium. Its description in RNAcentral is "bacterial SSU rRNA". It matches the Rfam family "Bacterial small subunit ribosomal RNA", at positions 28 to 339 of the family's 1533-position model. Lineage: Bacteria; Bacillati; Bacillota; Clostridia. The record is from RNAcentral.
GAUGAACGCUGGCGGCGUGCUUAACACAUGCAAGUCGAACGGGCUUUUUUAUGACAGAGGCUUCGGCCAACGAAGUUUAAAAGCCAGUGGCGGACGGGUGAGUAACGCGUGGAGAACCUGCCCUGUACAGGGGGAUAACAUCAGGAAACUGGUGCUAAAACCGCAUAAGCGCACAGAGCCGCAUGGCUCAGUGUGAAAAACUGAGGUGGUACAGGAUGGCUCCGCGUUGGAUUAGCCAGUUGGCGGGGUAACGGCCCACCAAAGCGACGAUCCAUAGCCGGCCUGAGAGGGUGAACGGCCACAUUGGGACUGAGACACGGCCCAGACUCC